This 574-nucleotide ribosomal RNA is filed under the name Novodinia novaezelandiae. RNAcentral's name for it is "partial large subunit ribosomal RNA". It matches the Rfam family "Bacterial large subunit ribosomal RNA", at positions 1816 to 2597 of the family's 2925-position model. The record is from RNAcentral. Lineage: Eukaryota; Metazoa; Echinodermata; Asteroidea; Brisingida; Novodiniidae.
CGCUCUUUGCAAAAGAAUUUAUGUAUAAAGAGUUCUGCCUGCCCAGUGACGUAGUUAAACGGCCGCGGUAUUUUGACUGUGCGAAGGUAGCAUAAUCAUUUGCUUCUUAAAUAGAGGCUGGUAUGAAUGGCAAGACGGAGGUUAAGCUGUCUCUUUCUUAAAUCUUGAAUUUAAUAUUUUUGUGAAGAAGCAGAAAUUUAUUCGUAGGACGAGAAGACCCUAUCGAGCUUUAGUCAUAUUAUUUUAAAUUAGUAUUAUAUUUUCAAUAAGUCUAAUUAAGCAUAUUUGUAUGUUUCUAAUUCUAUCAAGAAGGAGGAGAUAAUUUGGAUAAGAGACUUUGAUUGGGGCAAUCAUGGAGAAAAUAAAUCCUCCAUUUAAAUAAAAAAAGAAAUUACAAUUUUAGUAGUAGGAUCCAUUGAAUAAUGAUAAAAGGAAUAAGUUACCGUAGGGAUAACAGCGUAAUUUUUUUGAAGAGUUCAUAUUGAUAAAAAAGUUUGCGACCUCGAUGUUGGAUCAAGAUUUCCUAGAGAUGCAGCAGUUUCUAAGGGUUGGUCUGUUCGACCAUUAAAAUCUU